This 253-nucleotide ribosomal RNA is filed under the name uncultured bacterium. RNAcentral's name for it is "partial 16S ribosomal RNA". It matches the Rfam family "Bacterial small subunit ribosomal RNA", at positions 524 to 776 of the family's 1533-position model. The record is from RNAcentral.
GACAGAGGGUGCAAACGUUGUUCGGAUUUACUGGGCGUAAAGCGCGUGUAGGCGGCCUUGCAAGUUGGAUGUGAAAGCCCACGGCUCAACCGUGGAAGCGCAUCCAAAACUGCAUCGCUCGAGUCUCGGAGAGGAAGGUGGAAUGCUUGGUGUAGAGGUGAAAUUCGUAGAUAUCAAGCAGAACACCUGCGGCGAAGGCGGCCUUCUGGACGAUGACUGACGCUGAGACGCGAAAGCGUGGGGAGCGAACAGG